RNAcentral lists this ribosomal RNA (429 nucleotides) under Chloroflexota bacterium. RNAcentral describes it as "Chloroflexi bacterium partial 16S ribosomal RNA". It matches the Rfam family "Bacterial small subunit ribosomal RNA", at positions 355 to 776 of the family's 1533-position model. Lineage: Bacteria; Bacillati; Chloroflexota. The record is from RNAcentral.
UGGGGAAUAUUGCACAAUGGGCGCAAGCCUGAUGCAGCCAUGCCGCGUGUAUGAAGAAGGCCUUCGGGUUGUAAAGUACUUUCAGUCGGGAGGAAGGUGGUAAGGUUAAUAACCUUGGCAAUUGACGUUACCGACAGAAGAAGCACCGGCUAACUCCGUGCCAGCAGCCGCGGUAAUACGGAGGGUGCAAGCGUUAAUCGGAAUUACUGGGCGUAAAGCGCACGCAGGCGGUUGAUUGAGUCAGAUGUGAAAUCCCCGGGCUUAACCCGGGAAUUGCAUCUGAUACUGGUCAGCUAGAGUAUUGUAGAGGGGGGUAGAAUUCCAUGUGUAGCGGUGAAAUGCGUAGAGAUGUGGAGGAAUACCGGUGGCGAAGGCGGCCCCCUGGACAAAGACUGACGCUCAGGUGCGAAAGCGUGGGGAGCAAACAGG